This 294-nucleotide ribosomal RNA is filed under the name Clostridioides difficile. RNAcentral's name for it is "partial 23S ribosomal RNA". It matches the Rfam family "Bacterial large subunit ribosomal RNA", at positions 2176 to 2468 of the family's 2925-position model. Lineage: Bacteria; Bacillati; Bacillota; Clostridia; Peptostreptococcales; Peptostreptococcaceae. The record is from RNAcentral.
UUUGGCGGAGCCAUCCUUGGGAUACCACCCUUGUAGUACUGGGACUCUAACCAUAGGCCAUGAAUCUGGUCUUGGGACACUGUCAGGUGGGCAGUUUGACUGGGGCGGUCGCCUCCCAAAAGGUAACGGAGGCGCUCAAAGGUUCUCUCAGUACGGUCGGAAAUCGUACGUAGAGUGUAAAGGCAAAAGAGAGCUUGAUUGCAAGACAUACAGGUCGAGCAAGGAUGAAAAUCGGACUUAGUGAUCCGGUGGUUCGGCGUGGAAGGGCCAUCGCUCAACGGAUAAAAGCUACCC